AAUUUUGGACAAUGGGCGCAAGCCUGAUCCAGCCAUGCCGCGUGAGUGAAGAAGGCCUUCGGGUUGUAAAGCUCUUUCGGACGGAAAGAAAUCGCGCAGGCUAAUACCCUGCGCGGAUGACGGUACCGUCAUAAGAAUCACCGGCUAACUACGUGCCAGCACCCGCGGUAAUACGUAUGGUUAGAGCGUUAAUCGGGAUUACUGGGCGUAAAGCGGGCGCAGGCGGGUGAAUAAGACAGGCGUGAAAUCCCCGGGGUUAACCUGGGAACUGGGCUUGUGACUGGGUAGCUAGAGUACGGCAGAGGGGGGUGGAAUUCCACGUGUAGCAGUGAAAUGCGUAGAGAUGUGGAGGAACACCGAUGGCGAAGGCAGCCCCCUGGGCCGAUACUGACGCUCAUGCACGAAAGCGUGGAUAGCAAACAGG
RNAcentral lists this ribosomal RNA (424 nucleotides) under uncultured bacterium. RNAcentral's name for it is "partial 16S ribosomal RNA". It matches the Rfam family "Bacterial small subunit ribosomal RNA", at positions 360 to 776 of the family's 1533-position model. The record is from RNAcentral.